This 253-nucleotide ribosomal RNA is filed under the name uncultured bacterium. RNAcentral's name for it is "partial 16S ribosomal RNA". It matches the Rfam family "Bacterial small subunit ribosomal RNA", at positions 524 to 776 of the family's 1533-position model. The record is from RNAcentral.
GACGUAGGGCGCGAGCGUUGUCCGGAUUUAUUGGGCGUAAAGAGCUCGUAGGCGGCUUGUUGCGUCGACCGUGAAAACCCGUGGCUUAACUGCGGGCUUGCGGUCGAUACGGGCGGGCUGGAGUUCGGUAGGGGAGACUGGAAUUCCUGGUGUAGCGGUGAAAUGCGCAGAUAUCAGGAGGAACACCGGUGGCGAAGGCGGGUCUCUGGGCCGAUACUGACGCUGAGGAGCGAAAGCGUGGGGAGCAAACAGG